CAGCCUGCAUGAAAAUACAGCAUGCGAAGAGCAUCUACAAAAAAAAUAAAAAAAAAACCGGGAAUGAACGAGAAAAAAACAUCCAGCACAAAAAAAAAUCUGGGAAUGA
RNAcentral lists this non-coding RNA (109 nucleotides) under Eutreptiella gymnastica. Lineage: Eukaryota; Euglenozoa; Euglenophyceae; Eutreptiales; Eutreptiaceae. The record is from RNAcentral.